RNAcentral lists this ribosomal RNA (433 nucleotides) under uncultured bacterium. Its description in RNAcentral is "partial 16S ribosomal RNA". It matches the Rfam family "Bacterial small subunit ribosomal RNA", at positions 29 to 507 of the family's 1533-position model. The record is from RNAcentral.
AACGAACGCUGGCGGCAGGCCUAACACAUGCAAGUCGAGCGAGGACUUCGGUCCUAGCGGCGGACGGGUGAGUAACGCGUGGGAACGUGCCCUUUGCUUCGGAAUAGCCCUGGGAAACGGGGAGUAAUACCGGAUGAGCCCUUUUGGGGAAAGAUUUAUCGGCGUAGGGUGGGCCCGCGUUGGAUUAGGUAGUUGGGGGGGUAAGGGCCUACCACGCCUUGGAUACAUAGCUGGGUAGAGAGGCUGGUCAGCCACUCUGGGACUGAGACGCGGUCGAGAAUCCUGGGGGAAGGAGCAGAGGGGAAUCCUAGAAUACGGGGUAAGUCAUGAAGGAGCUAGGCCGGGAGAGCGCUGAUGGUGUGAGGGUUGUAAAGCUCUUUAAGCUGGGAAGAUAAUGACGGUACCCGAAGAAGAAGCACCGGCUAACUUCGUG